GAAAUGUCUUCCCUGCUUCUUUAAUGAAACUUUGGACGAUUUUCAUAAGGAAGAAAAGUUCAGAUGAGCGUUAUGACAGACCCGCAAGUGACAUGGAAGAGUAGUGGUGACAGAGUCCAGAGCUUAUGUUCGGAAGGUAACAGUGACUGUGUUACUGAAUCCAAGCUUGGUCUGCUUGCUGUGCAUGAGUGCUGUGUGCUAAGUCUCUUCAGCUGUGGCCGACCCUUCAGAACCCUGUGGACUAUAGCCCGCCAGGCUACUCUGUCUGUGGAAUUUUCCAGGUGAGAAUACUGGAGUGGGUUACCCUGCCCUCC
Molecule: long non-coding RNA, 314 nt
Filed under: Capra hircus (goat)
Lineage: Eukaryota; Metazoa; Chordata; Mammalia; Artiodactyla; Bovidae
Description: lncRNA (ENSCHIG00000000962.1)
Source: RNAcentral